Molecule: long non-coding RNA, 2305 nt
Organism: Macadamia integrifolia
Lineage: Eukaryota; Viridiplantae; Streptophyta; Magnoliopsida; Proteales; Proteaceae
Exons: 2
Source: RefSeq, a predicted model, not a curated record
GCCAAACUUGCACCCCUAGUUAAAACCAACCUGAUCUCGGAUGCAAGAUAUAAAUCCAAUAAAGUGUUUGAAACGAAAACUGGGAAUGCUAGUCAUUAGGUUCCAGAUCCAACAGGCCCGGUAGAGAAUGUGGAUGACGAUUAGCUCGCCCCUCCAUUUGGAUUUUCUGAAUUCGUUGAAUGAGCUAUCACACAUUCUCAUUGGGCUUUGCGAAGAUGGACUGGAAACCUUGGUUGAUGACCUUAUGAGAGGCUAGGUACAAUAGCAAAAGGGAAAUCAGACUCAAGCCCACAUGGAUAGAAAGAUGUGCUUGACGAUAGAAUGGAAGGAGAGACCCCAUCAUACAAUUUUUAUUGAGAUAUUGAGUGCUCCAAGCAAGCAGAAAAGAAGAAAGUUGCAUUUACGCCCAAACACAUGAACGGUGAAAUGUCUGCCCCAUUCCUGUGAAAAAGAAAAUCCUACCACUAUUACAUGCCUUUACUUACGAUGUCAUCUUCAUAAGAUCUAUAGUUGAUUGUUUUAGUGGAUUACGUAAAUUAAUUAUUGUCUCUUAAUGGGGCUGUCAAUAAAACAUACCCCCUUCAUUAUGGCCCAGAAGCUACCUAUAAAAUAAUCUCCUUCAAUUAUGACCAAGAAGUUCACACACAGUUGCAGUAACCUGUUCAUACCUUCUUUAUUUUUUGCUUCACAGUUCCUAAUCCACUUUAGUCCAGUCCUUCCAUAAUAACACCAUAACCAAAUUAUGGUUUAAAAUGUUCAGUGGUGACUGGCUGGUGAGUCCUACACGGAAAAGAAAAAAAGAAAAAGGUUCAGUGGUGAGUAAAGUCUAAAGGCAAAAGCUAAAUAACAACACCUUAAGACAACGCCCAGCUGUAGUCUAAAAAGUCUAAAAGGUCUUAAAAGUAAGUGGAUAUCCGGAUAAAGGAGAUGAACCAUGGAUAUGGUGAUGACAGAAAGUAAGGUCACCAUCCCUUCCAUCUCCUGUGAAGGCAGAGCUCUUCCAUCCACAGACCACAACAAUUUGGCUCUUCCUCCUCUCUCCUCCAACAUAAUGGGUUAUUUGUUGGAAGCCCACAUCUGCCUCUGCCAGUGCCACUGCCUCUGGCAGUUGUCUUCUCUCCGGCGGCAUUUCCGGUGAAAAUAUUUGGAAAACCGGCGAAAGACAGGAAAGCAGUUUUGUUGAGUGGGUCAUAGACCUCAGAAGGGGAGAUGUCAUCGCCAUCGCUGCUUUCAACAGGAACCAAUGGGAAGCCAAAGGGAGUUGCCAUAACUCGCUCAGCUGUUAUUGUCCAAUCACUUGCCAAAACUGCCAUUGUUGUUUACAGUGAGGAUGAUGCAUGGUUUCCCUUAUGAAAGUAACUAACAUUCUUCCUUUCACUUUUUGAGUUAGCCCAUAUAUCUAAGUUUGUAGAAAUGGUGAAAUCUGAACAAACACCCCACACUCUCCCGCCCCAAAAAAAAUUAAUAAAUAAAAAAAAUAAAAAAAUAAAAGACAAAGAACUUGGCACUUUGCCACCAAGGGAUGUUCUCAUUUGGUUCAAGCAGUUAUGUUUCAAACCUGCCAAUACACCCUUCUAAUUCAGAAUAAAGAUCCAGGCCAGCUUGUGUGCUUGAUAAGCAAAUGUCCCAUCUGUAUCCAACCAGGCAGAUGGUUUUCUUGGUUGAGUCAGAUCAAGAGUUAGUACCCCUUUAUACUUUUGUAGGUUUGUCUCCCCACACAACCUUUUUGUCUUAUUGGUGGGAUAUCUUCAGGAAUAAGGUGUGUCUUUCAUGUCUCAUCACGUAUUUUUCUUAAAGAAGUACCUAUCAUUUGUUGAUUUGCUCUGUUCAUUCUAUCAUAAACUGUAACAAAUGGUAGAGAACAUAGCAAAAACAUCUUCCUUUUACCUUUUAGCUUAAAUUUAGUUUCUAACAUGGUCUAAAAUCAUUGGGUUUGUACCAGGUCUUCAGUAAAACCUAAACUACCCCUAACUUAGAUCCUGGUUUAAGCAGCACAUGUAAGUGCCUAACAUGCAUUACCUAGGUCUCUAAACAUUUUCUAGCUUCAUUUCAAACAAGGGAGAGGGUUAGGCAUGCCGCUAGCUUUCAAGGAGCUAGCAGUUCAACCAGGGGGGCUGGGAUGGGAGGGGCAUGGGGUUCAUUCCAAAAGGAGAGGGAGAGAGAGUAACACAGGCUGGCACCCAGCUGCGUGCCCAGCCUUUUCCCUUCAAAUAACUAACCAUCUCAGUCCAAAAUUGUAUAAAUAUUUAAGCUGACCUGCUUAUCUAACUCAUUUUGUUUCUUAAAUAAUAUUUAUCAUUUGUGC